RNAcentral lists this ribosomal RNA (253 nucleotides) under uncultured bacterium. Its description in RNAcentral is "partial 16S ribosomal RNA". It matches the Rfam family "Bacterial small subunit ribosomal RNA", at positions 524 to 776 of the family's 1533-position model. The record is from RNAcentral.
UACGAAGGGGGCUAGCGUUGCUCGGAAUCACUGGGCGUAAAGCGCACGUAGGCGGACUCUUAAGUCGGUGGUGAAAUCCUGGAGCUCAACUCCAGAACUGCCUUCGAUACUGAGAGUCUCGAGUCCGAGAGAGGUGAGUGGAACUGCGAGUGUAGAGGUGGAAUUCGUAGAUAUUAGGAAGAACACCAGUGGCGAAGGCGGCUCACUGGUCCGGUACUGACGCUGAGGUGCGAAAGCGUGGGGAGCAAACAGG